GAUACGAGACGGAGAGGCUCUCUAUCGUCUGGAAAGUUUUUCGGUCUGGGAUGGACUCGCGGCCUAUCAGCUAGUUGGUGAGGUAAUGGCUCACCAAGGCGACGACGGGUAGCCGGCCUGAGAGGGCGACCGGCCACACUGGGACUGAGACACGGCCCAGACUCCUACGGGAGGCAGCAGUGGGGAAUAUUGCACAAUGGGCGAAAGCCUGAUGCAGCGACGCCGCGUGAGGGAUGACGGCCUUCGGGUUGUAAACCUCUUUCAGCA
RNAcentral lists this ribosomal RNA (267 nucleotides) under uncultured Actinomycetes bacterium. RNAcentral describes it as "uncultured actinobacterium partial 16S rRNA". It matches the Rfam family "Bacterial small subunit ribosomal RNA", at positions 172 to 441 of the family's 1533-position model. Lineage: Bacteria; Bacillati; Actinomycetota; Actinomycetes. The record is from RNAcentral.